Molecule: long non-coding RNA, 638 nt
Filed under: Brassica napus (rape)
Lineage: Eukaryota; Viridiplantae; Streptophyta; Magnoliopsida; Brassicales; Brassicaceae
Description: long non-coding RNA (BNAP_LNC022418)
Source: RNAcentral
AGUUCUACUGAGUUAUGGUUAUACUGCGUAACACUAAGUAAAACUGAGUUAGUUAUACCGAGUACGGCUGAGUUAGUAAUACUGAGUUAUACAUAAUCCAAAUUUGAAGAUGAAAUAAACAAAAACACGAAAAAAUUCUGGAAAGGAAAAACAAGAAGAACCCUAAAUCUUGAAAAAAAAUCCCAGAAUCUUAUUUAUCAACCUUAAAUCAGAUAUUAUCAAGAACAAAAUAUCCUAAAUCAAAGGAAAACUCAGAUAUGGAGCGCGAGAAGAAGAAGAAAUCGCCAUUGAACCCAUUUCCAUCAUCUUCAACGGUUGAUGGUACUGUUUCUAUCACUGGUGGAAUUGUUGAGGACGGUUUACAUCACGGACCGAAGUUUUCAUCACUUGCGACGGAUCUCGAAGAACAAAGAGAAGAAGAGAAAGGAGAAGAGAUAGAAAAUUAAAUCGCCAUGGUUGAUAUGUUUUGUUCUUAUCACAAAACAACGAAGAGUGAAAGGUAGAAGAAGAAGAGAAGAAGCGCCGCAGAGAAAUAAAAGAAAGAGGUAAGAAAUAAAAACAGAACUUUCUCGGAUCUGUAUAUUAGGUUUAAGGAAAUAAAUGUCAUUUCGUCAAUUUUUGAAUUAAAAAUAAAUCAA